Molecule: non-coding RNA, 73 nt
Organism: Ameiurus melas (black bullhead)
Lineage: Eukaryota; Metazoa; Chordata; Actinopteri; Siluriformes; Ictaluridae
Source: the annotation of a GenBank genome assembly
CGCACCGUGGCUUAGUGGUUGGCACAUUCGCCUCACACCUCCAGGGUCGAGGGUUCGAUUCCCACUGGGGCCA